RNAcentral lists this ribosomal RNA (686 nucleotides) under uncultured bacterium. RNAcentral's name for it is "bacterial SSU rRNA". It matches the Rfam family "Bacterial small subunit ribosomal RNA", at positions 32 to 715 of the family's 1533-position model. The record is from RNAcentral.
AACGCUAGCUACAGGCUUAACACAUGCAAGUCGAGGGGUAGCAGGGUAGCAAUACCGCUGACGACCGGCGCACGGGUGAGUAACACGUAUCCAACCUUCCCAUAACUCGGGGAUAGCCUUUCGAAAGAAAGAUUAAUACCCGAUAGUACUUUUUCAAGGCAUCUUGAGAAAGUUAAAGAUUUAUUGGUUAUGGAUGGGGAUGCGUUCCAUUAGAUAGUUGGUGAGGUAACGGCUCACCAAGUCUUCGAUGGAUAGGGGUUCUGAGAGGAAGGUCCCCCACAUUGGUACUGAGACACGGACCAAACUCCUACGGGAGGCAGCAGUGAGGAAUAUUGGUCAAUGGGCGAGAGCCUGAACCAGCCAAGUAGCGUGAAGGAUGAAGGUCCUAUGGAUUGUAAACUUCUUUUAUAGUAGAAUAAAGUGAUCCACGUGUGGAUUUUUGUAUGUAUACUAUGAAUAAGGAUCGGCUAACUCCGUGCCAGCAGCCGCGGUAAUACGGAGGAUCCGAGCGUUAUCCGGAUUUAUUGGGUUUAAAGGGUGCGUAGGCGGAAUAAUAAGUCAGUUGUGAAAGUUUGCGGCUCAACCGUAAAAUUGCAGUUGAUACUGUUAUUCUUGAGUGUACAUAAGGUAGGCGGAAUUCGUGGUGUAGCGGUGAAAUGCUUAGAUAUCACGAAGAACUCCGAUUG